Oncorhynchus tshawytscha (Chinook salmon) is the source of this 936-nucleotide long non-coding RNA. The record is from Ensembl. NCBI's taxonomy places the organism in Eukaryota, Metazoa, Chordata, Actinopteri, Salmoniformes, Salmonidae.
GCCCUCUACAAGAGCAGCAUGUCAACCACCCCCCUUCCCUCCUCUCUCUCUCUCACACACACUCCCUUGCUCAAGAAGGGGCCAUCUAUCUCUACUCUGGACAGAGGCAGCAGGAGCCAAUGAAAAUAAAGUUAGUUUGUGCUGCAGUCACCACAUUGCCAGAGCUGCAGCAAACCCACACAGCCAUCUGGGAACCUCUCUGGUGUUCAGCUGCACGCCUGCCGGUCCAACCCCAAUGCUCCCCUCGCUCCCUCGCCGCUGCGCCACUGCCAGGGCACCAAUCGUUAACAAUCCCCCUUUCCUCUCCUCUCUCCUCUGUCUCUCCCUCGCUUCCUCCCUCCCCCUCCCUCCGGUCUCUCCCCUGACCUUUCCCAGGCAGUGUGUUUCUCCGCUCCAAGCGGGUGGUUCUGUCCAGUCAGCCAGCCAGGCUAUAGGACAGCUGCUCUUGCUGCUGCUGUUGACAUUGUUCUCAGAAUCUCUGUCUGUACUGUAAACACAGCAACAUAGAUCUGUAGAGUAACUAGUGCAGUGCCUAGAGGUGCUCUGUGUGAGGCUGUCUGUUUACCUCCGUGUUCUCCUCUCCAUCAAUAGCACAUCGACAAGACCGAGAGGCCGGACACACAUGUAGAGGGACGGACGCAAGCUUUUUUUUCUUCCUGACGACGUCCUUCGACGCCAGGAAACCCAAUCGGGCUGGAGAGAUCUCUGCUGAAACACUGGGAGUCUGGGUGGCACCUUUGACAGCACGUGAAAAGAAGAGGCCUCUUUCCUCUGUCUGAGUGAGACGACAGAGAGGGUGAGAGGGUGAGUCUUGUCAAUCUCAUACCUUGUGAAGUUUAAGCCCUCUUCUGUUUUUCAUCUUGACUUGGUCGGUGGGCCCAAUCGCCUGUGAGAUCUCUCUGGCAGGCCUUUUCAUUAUCCGGUCCAAGAAAGCCC